This 562-nucleotide ribosomal RNA is filed under the name uncultured bacterium. RNAcentral describes it as "partial 16S rRNA". It matches the Rfam family "Bacterial small subunit ribosomal RNA", at positions 339 to 915 of the family's 1533-position model. The record is from RNAcentral.
CUACGGGAGGCAGCAGUGAGGGAUAUUGCGCAAUGGGGGMAACCCUGACGCAGCAACGCCGCGUGGGCGAAGAAGGUCUUCGGMUCGUAAAGCCCUUUUCUCUCGGACGAGGAAGGACGGUACGGGMGGAAUAAGUGUCGGCUAACUACGUGCCMGCAGCCGCGGUAAMACGUMGGAGCGCGMGCGUUAUCCGGMAUUMUUGGGCGUAAAGGGCGUUUAGGCSGCSUCUUAAGUUGSGCGUSAAAUCUUCCGGCUCAACCGGAAGGGGCCGUCCAAUACUGGGACGCUUGAGGGCAGCAGGGGGAGGUGGAAUUCCCGGUGUAGCCCUGGAAUGCGUAGAUAUCGGGAGGAACACCAGUGGCGAAGGCGGCCUCCUGGGCUGUACCUGACGCUGAAGCGCGAAAGCGUGGGGAGCGAACGGGAUUAGAUACCCCGGUAGUCCACGCCGUAAACGAUGGAUACUAGGUGUUGGUGGUAUUGACCCCAUCAGUGCCGGCAGUAACGCGUUAAGUAUCCCGCCUGGGGACUACGGCCGCAAGGCUAAAACUCAAAGGAAUUGACG